This 85-nucleotide transfer RNA is filed under the name Felis catus (domestic cat). It matches the Rfam family "tRNA". Rfam says of the family: Transfer RNA (tRNA) molecules are approximately 80 nucleotides in length. Lineage: Eukaryota; Metazoa; Chordata; Mammalia; Carnivora; Felidae. The record is from Rfam by way of RNAcentral.
GCCUGGGUGGCUCAGUUGGUUGAGUGUCUGACUUCAGCUCAGGUCAUGGUCUCGGGGUUUGUGAGUUUGAGCCCCAUGUCAGGCU